Molecule: small RNA, 161 nt
Filed under: Xanthomonas campestris pv. campestris
Lineage: Bacteria; Pseudomonadati; Pseudomonadota; Gammaproteobacteria; Lysobacterales; Lysobacteraceae
Description: ncRNA of unknown function
Source: RNAcentral
UCUGCGUCGCUCAGUUUGGCGGCCUGGAUCUCUCUCCCUUACGUCACCACGAUUCUCGACUUCCAGCGUUUGCCUGACACAGGCGAAACUGCCGCGCAGAUGCGGGAGACAUUCAACGCGCAUCUGGCGCGCACGGAACAGAGGCUGCGCACCGUGACACG